UACGUAGGUGGCAAGCGUUGUCCGGAUUUAUUGGGUUUAAAGGGCGCGUAGGCGGCGUAACAAGUCACUUGUGAAAUCUCCGGGCUUAACCCGGAGCGGCCAAGUGAUACUGUUGUGCUAGAGUGCGGAAGGGGCUACUGGAAUUCAUGGUGUAGCAGUGAAAUGCGUAAAGAUCAUGAGGAAGACCAGUGGCGAAGGCGGGUCUCUGGACAGUUCCUGACACUGAGACACGAAGGCCAGGGGAGCAAACGGG
Molecule: ribosomal RNA, 253 nt
Filed under: uncultured bacterium
Lineage: Bacteria
Description: partial 16S ribosomal RNA
Rfam family: Bacterial small subunit ribosomal RNA
Source: RNAcentral